UACGUAGGGGGCUAACGUUGUCCGGAAUUAUUGGGCGUAAAGCGCACGUAGGCGGCCAACUAAGUCGGAUGUGAAAUCCCCAGGCUUAACCUGGGAACUGCAUCCGAUACUGGAUGGCUUGAAUCCGGGAGAGGGAUGCAGAAUUCCAGGUGUAGCGGUGAAAUGCGUAGAUAUCUGGAGGAAUACCGGUGGCGAAGGCGGCAUCCUGGACCGGCAUUGACGCUGAUGAGCGAAAGCUAGGGGAGCAAACGGG
Molecule: ribosomal RNA, 253 nt
Filed under: uncultured bacterium
Lineage: Bacteria
Description: partial 16S ribosomal RNA
Rfam family: Bacterial small subunit ribosomal RNA
Source: RNAcentral